GGGGAUUUAGCUCAGUGGCAUAAGCACCUGCCUUGCAAGCAAGAAGUCGUGAGUUCAAUCCCCG
RNAcentral lists this transfer RNA (64 nucleotides) under Cavia porcellus (domestic guinea pig). It matches the Rfam family "tRNA". From Rfam's summary of the family: Transfer RNA (tRNA) molecules are approximately 80 nucleotides in length. Their secondary structure includes four short double-helical elements and three loops (D, anti-codon, and T loops). Further hydrogen bonds mediate the characteristic L-shaped molecular structure. tRNAs have two regions of fundamental functional importance: the anti-codon, which is responsible for specific mRNA codon recognition, and the 3' end, to which the tRNAs corresponding amino acid is attached (by aminoacyl-tRNA synthetases). tRNAs cope with the degeneracy of the genetic code in two manners: having more than one tRNA (with a specific anti-codon) for a particular amino acid; and 'wobble' base-pairing, i.e. permitting non-standard base-pairing at the 3rd anti-codon position. The record is from Rfam by way of RNAcentral. Lineage: Eukaryota; Metazoa; Chordata; Mammalia; Rodentia; Caviidae.